AGCUUUGCGCAGUGGAAGUAUCAUGGCCAGUGAGGUUUAUCUGAAGUGUGAUUAUUGCUAAUUGAAAAUAAAGUUUUAAAUGUCCUAACUAUAAAGUUAGAAAUCCAGUUCCCCUAGGAG
This is a small nuclear RNA of Ochotona princeps (American pika), 120 nucleotides long. Its record names the gene U4. It matches the Rfam family "U4 spliceosomal RNA". From Rfam's summary of the family: U4 small nuclear RNA (U4 snRNA) is a component of the major U2-dependent spliceosome. The structure of U4 snRNA from yeast and human has been reported. The record is from Ensembl. NCBI's taxonomy places the organism in Eukaryota, Metazoa, Chordata, Mammalia, Lagomorpha, Ochotonidae.